RNAcentral lists this unclassified non-coding RNA (432 nucleotides) under soil metagenome. RNAcentral describes it as "partial contains 5.8S ribosomal RNA, internal transcribed spacer 2, and large subunit ribosomal RNA". The stretch from base 1 to 120 matches the Rfam family "5.8S ribosomal RNA", at positions 35 to 154 of the family's 154-position model. The record is from RNAcentral.
GAUUAAGAACGCAGCGAAAUGCGAUACGUAAUGUGAAUUGCAGAAUUCAGUGAAUCAUCGAAUCUUUGAACGCAUAUUGCGCUCUCUGGUAUUCCGGAGAGCAUGCUUGUUUGAGUAUCAGUAAACACCUCAACUUCCAUAUCUUUUUUGAAAUGGGAGUUGGACUUGAGUGAUCCCAACGCUUUUCCUCACCGAAAAGUGGCGGGUUACUUGAAAUGCAGGUGCAGCUGGACUUUUCUCUGAGCUAUAAGCAUAUCUAUUUAGUCUGCCUAAAAAACAGAUUAUUACCUUUGCUGCAGCUAACAUAAAGGAGAUUAGUUCUUGUGCUGACUGAUGCAGGAUUCACAAAGACGGCUUCGGCCGACUUUGUAAACUCGAUCUCAAAUCAAGUAAGACUACCCGCUGAACUUAAGCAUAUCAAUAAGCGGAGGA